GGAACAAUUUUUAUAUUUUUGAUUUUUCUUGUAAUAAAAUAAAGUAAAAGAGUAAAAAUGAGUUAAAAUAGCUAUAUUAGGCCUAAAUUAAAUAUUUACGUGCUAAAAUAUAAAACAUCUUGGGGAGGAUCAAAAAUCGCAUGUCUACAGCUGCCCCUCUUUGACUGGAAACGCAAAGAGUUUUCAGACAAAGAACGACUAGACAGGUUUUUUGACCCGAUCCUUAUUUACAGGGACCAAAAAUUAAGAGAAAUGAGAAUUUGACCGAGCCCUGGUCUCUGAGCUGCCUACAUAUCCUUGGCUAUAAAGGAAUCAGGCCACAUGUAGUUCAGAAGUGAGUGAGAUGAUGGAGUAUGCCGAGGUGGAGAGCCAGUCGAGGUGUCGUUCCAUCGAGGUUCCGGUCUGCGGUCCCGUUAUUAUAUCAAAAUCAAAAAUGAAAAAGACUAACUACGCCUAUCAGCUACGAGUUACAAGAUUCCAAUCUAUGAGUCUUCUGAAAUUUGAUCUUGAGUCUUGGUUGGUUCUGGAUUGUGACAAACUUCUGUUGAUCAUCUCGGACUGCUGACUCACAUUCUUGACGCGAGCUUCUUUUGUUGCUGACCUAAAUUGCAUUCUGAAUUGAAUUCCCUUUUUUCCAGGUGGGCGCCUGAUUGCUGAACUUGAACUGACUUCCUUUGAAACUUGAACUGUUUUCUCUUGAAACUCGAACUGUUUUCCCUUGAAACUUGAACUGUCUUCCUUCGAAACUGCUUUUUCUUGAAACUUGAACUAUCUUCCCUUGUUCUCUAGGUGAGCUCCUGAUUGCUGAACUUGACCUGUCUUCCUUCGAAACUGGAACCGUUUUCCCUUGUUCUCCAGGUGGGCGCCUGAUUGCUGAAACUUUCUGUGUUCCCUUGUUUUCCAUGUGGGUGCCUGCAAUCAAAACCAACAAAACAAAUAAAAUUUUCUGCCCCAGUUUGCACUAGGAAGAUUUGUGAGUUGUUAGCAGUAUUGUAAACCACUUAUACUAUUGAUGCGAUGAUGAGUAAACUAAAGACUAUACUAGGAUGUACGUCUCCUAAAAGUGAUUGAGCUUGCAGAAAACUAUAAACUAAGCUUGACUAAAGUAAAGACUGACCCUAAUUUCCAGGGGGACCCCUGAUUUCAAGAAAACUAAACAUUGAUAACUUAAGAAAAAUAAAAAUUGACCCCUCUCUUUUUGCAAAUUCAGACUUCUUUUUUUCAAAAUAUCCUAGGAGAAAAUUCGUCAGACUAGGUUUUCUAUCUUAGGAGAAAGAUUCAUCCGACUAAGACGUUUACCCUAGGAGAAAGUUCGUCAGACUAGGUCUCUUUUCUUAUCUUAGGAGAAAGAUUCAUCCGACUAAGACGUUUACCCUAGGAGAAAGUUCGUCAGACUAGGUCUCUUUUCUUAUCUUAGGAGAAAGAUUCAUCAGACUAAGACGUUAAUCCUAGGAGAAAAUUCAUCAGACUAGGUCUCUUUUCUUAUCUUAGGAGAAAGAUUCAUCAGACUAAGAUUUUGAUCCUAGGAGAAAGUUCAUCAGAUUAGGUCUUCUAUCUUAGGAGAAAAAUUCAUCAAACUAAGAUUUUUAUCCUAGGAGAAAAGUCAUCAGACUAGGUCUUCUAAUUUGUUAUCUUAGGAGAAAGAUUCGUCAGACUAAGAUUUAUAUCCUAGGACAAAAUUCAUCAGACUAGGUUUUCUAUUUUAGGAGAAAAAUUCAUCAGACUAAGAUUUAUAUUGGGAGGAAAAUUCAUCAGACUAGGAAUUUUUAUCCUAGGAGGAAAAAUGUGAAGAUCAAUGUCAAGAUUUUAUGCACAAUAGCAAGACAAAUAAAGGCAAAGAUUUGAGAAACUUCCCUUUGUCGGCUCUUCUCGUCUUUUCUUUUUCUUCUCUUUUUUGUUGUUUUUU
This 1906-nucleotide long non-coding RNA is filed under the name Nicotiana tabacum (common tobacco). RNAcentral's name for it is "long non-coding RNA (NTAB_LNC000204)". The record is from RNAcentral. Lineage: Eukaryota; Viridiplantae; Streptophyta; Magnoliopsida; Solanales; Solanaceae.